This 57-nucleotide transfer RNA is filed under the name Loxodonta africana (African savanna elephant). It matches the Rfam family "tRNA", at positions 8 to 63 of the family's 71-position model. Rfam says of the family: Transfer RNA (tRNA) molecules are approximately 80 nucleotides in length. Their secondary structure includes four short double-helical elements and three loops (D, anti-codon, and T loops). Lineage: Eukaryota; Metazoa; Chordata; Mammalia; Proboscidea; Elephantidae. The record is from Rfam by way of RNAcentral.
UGGCUUAGUGGUUAAGCAUUGGGCUGCUAACCAAAAGGUCGGCAGUUUGAAUCUGGC